GACUCCUCCGGCUGCUGUGGCCUCCCCAGCCCGCAGCUCUCCGUACCCUCUCAGUUCCUUUCCGACUUUUCUAUAAAAUGCACUUCCUGCGAAAGCACAGGAAAAUAGGACGGCUCUGUCUCUCUGAUUCGUGGCUUUUAAUCUCCAGUUGUCCCAUGGGGCUCCAGGAUGAGAGCCGAUUCACGUCCACCCUAGCAGACAUGCAGCAUCACCCCAUGGAUUCUCUACAACGCAGCCACAUCUGAAACUGGACUCAUGGAAUGACAAGCUUGCUUGGAACACCAAACAACUGGCAACCACCAUCAAGAUGACCAAGUCAGUAGUGGAACCUCCCUCACGUUCACCAAAUAAAGCUGUUCAAAAAU
Ochotona princeps (American pika) is the source of this 365-nucleotide long non-coding RNA. RefSeq lists it as uncharacterized. The transcript is spliced from 2 exons. The record is from RefSeq and is a predicted model, not a curated record. NCBI's taxonomy places the organism in Eukaryota, Metazoa, Chordata, Mammalia, Lagomorpha, Ochotonidae.